AGUCUGUUUCAGGGCGGGGUGAGAUUCCCCACCGGCGGUGAAAGCCCGCGACCGGUAUAUGCGCAGCAUGUACCGCUGAUUUGGUGAAAUUCCAAAGCCGACGGUGUGCGUGCCGUGUUUUUGCGCGGUGUGUUGAGUCCGGAUGAAAGAAACGGCGG
RNAcentral lists this non-coding RNA (158 nucleotides) under Subdoligranulum sp. RNAcentral's name for it is "FMN sequence". It matches the Rfam family "FMN riboswitch aptamer (RFN element)". Rfam says of the family: The RFN element is a highly conserved domain that is found frequently in the 5'-untranslated regions of prokaryotic mRNAs that encode for flavin mononucleotide (FMN) biosynthesis and transport proteins. This element is a metabolite-dependent riboswitch that directly binds FMN in the absence of proteins. The record is from RNAcentral. Lineage: Bacteria; Bacillati; Bacillota; Clostridia; Eubacteriales; Oscillospiraceae.